This is a non-coding RNA of Nelumbo nucifera (sacred lotus), 1079 nucleotides long. The record is from RefSeq and is a predicted model, not a curated record. NCBI's taxonomy places the organism in Eukaryota, Viridiplantae, Streptophyta, Magnoliopsida, Proteales, Nelumbonaceae.
GGAUUCAAUAAAAAAAUGAGAGUUUGUUGAGGGGAAUAAUAUUUGGAGCAGUAGGAUAGCUUAGUAUUUCCAUUCUUUUAGUAAGGGCACUCCUGUCCAAAAUUUAUCAUAAACAGGGGUAUUUUUGUAAGCACAUUUUAUUUACACUAAUAUAAGUAGUGGGCUGAGGACUUCUAGACUAUUCUCUAUUCAGUUUUGAUGUAGUUGUCUUCUUUCAGUCUUCUCCGUUCUCUUUCUCUUCCUCUUCAUUCUAUACGUUCUCCUUUUUUUCUUUUCUUUUAUUUCUGGUUGCUGCCUCAUUACUGAUUGACAGUGAUUACCAUGUUUUUCAUGGUAUCGGAGCAGGUGAAGUGAUUAGGGAUUUUUUUCUUCUUUCCUCCCUAAUUGAUUGAUUUUUUUUUUUCUCUUCUAAGCGUGCUGCAACUAUUGUUAGUGAUUGGAGUUGAAACCAGAUAGAUUUCUGGGUGAUUUGUGAUGGUCUAUACCAUCACAGCUGCUGUGGAAAGUGACUGGUGAUGUGCGUGACCCUCUAGUGGAAUCAAACCAAGAGGGAAUCCAUCGUUUCAAUGGAAAAACUGAAUCUGGACUGUGUACAAGUUGUGAGCUGAUUGAAUAGUGAUGCCAAGACAAGUAUUUCAAAUCGUGAAGUGAAAGGUGCUGUCUUUUUAUAAUUGUGAGAGUGACAAGGGACUGAAAACUCAAAGUACUCAAGUGGAUACAACAAGAUGCACAAAUUAAGACUUGGUUGUGGAAUUCCAUAAAGACCAAAAUCAUCAGCACACUUAUUUUUCUGGAUACGUCUAAACAGAUUUGGGAUCAAGUGAAGAGGAUGUAUUCGGGUAGCAAUAAUAUCACGCGGAUAUAUCAGUUGUUUCAAUCAUUUAUAAGUUUACAGCCGGGAGGCCUGUACAAAAAUCAAGUUCAAUAGAGGUUCUAUAGUUGAAAGAGAAUGGUACCUGGAGCAAUGUAUCCAAUUGAGCCGCAUAGAGGAUGUUACUAGGCUUCAAGUCACAAUGGAUGACCUUAACUGGAGAAUGGUGGUGCAAGUAAGCAAGCCCCUCAGCUAUGUCACUGCAGAU